RNAcentral lists this ribosomal RNA (339 nucleotides) under Mesochria cinctipes. Its description in RNAcentral is "partial 16S ribosomal RNA". The record is from RNAcentral. Lineage: Eukaryota; Metazoa; Arthropoda; Insecta; Diptera; Anisopodidae.
UUUUUUAAUUGAAAGCUUGUAUGAAUGGUUGGACAAAAUAUUAACUGUCUCAUAAAAAAGAAUUGAAUUUUAUUUUUUAGUAAAAAAGCUAAAAUAUUUUUAUAGGACGAGAAGACCCUAUAGAUCUUUAUAUUUUUAUAUUAUAAAUUAUAAAGAAUUAUUAAAUUUUUAAUUAAAAAAAAUAUUUUAUUGGGGUGAUAGUAAAAUUUAAUAAACUUUUAUUUAUUUAUAACAUAAAUUAAUGAUUUUAUGAUCCAUUAUUAAUGAUUAAAAAAUUAAGUUACCUUAGGGAUAACAGCGUAAUAUUUUUAAAGAGUUCAUAUCGAUAAAAAUGUUUGC